UAUCUAUAGGUGUAAGAAGCACGAAAGUUUUUGAUACUUUAAGGUUUAGUUUAAUUCUAUAAUAGAUAA
RNAcentral lists this transfer RNA (69 nucleotides) under Potamanthellus edmundsi. RNAcentral's name for it is "tRNA-Gln". Lineage: Eukaryota; Metazoa; Arthropoda; Insecta; Ephemeroptera; Neoephemeridae. The record is from RNAcentral.